GCUCGCGACUCCCUUACCAUGGUCAGAAUCAACAACAGCAGCAGCCGCAGACGAAGGCUCUACAAAAAAGUGACAACAACUGGGUGUGAGAACUACUGUCAAACAGAGUAGUCCUUAGUGGGUACCGUCACUCACCCUAACGCCCUACCCACUAAGGGCCUAUUUGGAUGCACAGUAAAAAAUCUCCACAGGAUUUAUAAACUGUGGUUUUGGUCCAAAUGAAAUAGGAAAUCCUGUAACUCUAAAAAAAUUCAACGGGUUCAAUUUUUAAACUGUUUGGAUACGCAUUGUGUAAUUU
This 298-nucleotide long non-coding RNA is filed under the name Ananas comosus (pineapple). RNAcentral's name for it is "long non-coding RNA (ACOM_LNC036068)". Lineage: Eukaryota; Viridiplantae; Streptophyta; Magnoliopsida; Poales; Bromeliaceae. The record is from RNAcentral.